This 459-nucleotide ribosomal RNA is filed under the name uncultured bacterium. RNAcentral's name for it is "bacterial SSU rRNA". It matches the Rfam family "Bacterial small subunit ribosomal RNA", at positions 28 to 501 of the family's 1533-position model. The record is from RNAcentral.
GACGAACGCUGGCGGCGUGCUUAACACAUGCAAGUCGAACGGUGAACCAGAGCUUGCUCUGGGGAUCGGUGGCGAACGGGUGAGUAACACGUGGGCAACCUGCCCCAGACUCUGGGAUAACCUCGGGAAACCGAUGCUAAUACCGGAUACGACCACUUCGGACAUCCGACGGUGGUGGAAAGUUUUUCGGUCUGGGAUGGGCCCGCGGCCUAUCAGCUAGUUGGUGGGGUAAUGGCCUACCAAGGCGACGACGGGUAGUCGGCCUGAGAGGGCGACCGGCCACACUGGAACUGAGACACGGUCCAGACUCCUACGGGAGGCAGCAGUGGGGAAUAUUGCACAAUGGGCGAAAGCCUGAUGCAGCGACGCCGCGUGAGGGACGACGGCCUCGGUUGUAACCGUACUUUCAGCAGGACGAAGCGAAAGUAGACUGUACCUGCAGAAGAAGCACCGGCUAAC